CCUACGGGAGGCAGCAGUCGGGAAUUUUGGGCAAUGGGCGAAAGCCUGACCCAGCAACGCCGCGUGAGGGAUGAAGGCCCUCGGGUCGUAAACCUCUGUCGGGAGGGAAGAACCGUUGCGAUUCGAACAGGGUCGCAACGUGACGGUACCUCCAAAGGAAGCACCGGCUAACUCCGUGCCAGCAGCCGCGGUAAUACGGAGGGUGCAAGCGUUGUUCGGAAUCAUUGGGCGUAAAGCGCGUGUAGGCGGCUUGGCAAGUCGGGUGUGAAAUCCCGGGGCCCAACCCCGGAACUGCAUUCGAAACUGCCUCGCUAGAGUCCCGGAGAGGAAGGCGGAAUUCCCGGUGUAGAGGUGAAAUUCGUAGAUAUCGGGAGGAACACCAGCGGCGAAGGCGGCCUUCUGGACGGUGACUGACGCUCAGACGCGAAAGCGUGGGGAGC
RNAcentral lists this ribosomal RNA (440 nucleotides) under uncultured bacterium. Its description in RNAcentral is "bacterial SSU rRNA". It matches the Rfam family "Bacterial small subunit ribosomal RNA", at positions 338 to 769 of the family's 1533-position model. The record is from RNAcentral.